UUAAAACAGGGAGAUGGCAUUCCUCCCUUGAAAAACCGCCGUAUUGGCUAAUGAUGCCUACGUUACC
Non-coding RNA from Acinetobacter baumannii ATCC 17978, 67 nucleotides. Lineage: Bacteria; Pseudomonadati; Pseudomonadota; Gammaproteobacteria; Moraxellales; Moraxellaceae. The record is from Rfam.